This 75-nucleotide transfer RNA is filed under the name Deltaproteobacteria bacterium RIFCSPHIGHO2_01_FULL_43_49. RNAcentral describes it as "tRNA-Pro". It matches the Rfam family "tRNA". From Rfam's summary of the family: Transfer RNA (tRNA) molecules are approximately 80 nucleotides in length. Their secondary structure includes four short double-helical elements and three loops (D, anti-codon, and T loops). RNAcentral also lists the same sequence under 5 other names. Lineage: Bacteria; Deltaproteobacteria. The record is from RNAcentral.
CGGGGAGUAGCUCAGCCUGGCUAGAGCGCUGCGUUUGGGACGCAGAAGUCGCAGGUUCAAAUCCUGUCUCCCCGA